AUACGGAGGAUCCGAGCGUUAUCCGGAUUUAUUGGGUUUAAAGGGUGCGCAGGCGGCCAUUUAAGUCAGCGGUUAAAUCGUGGGGCUCAACCCCAUUCUGCCGUUGAUACUGGGUGGCUUGAUUGCGGUCGAGGUUGGCGGAAUUCGUUGUGUAGCGGUGAAAUGCAUAGAUAUGACGAAGAACACCGAUUGCGUAGGCAGCUGACCAGACCGCAAAUGACGCUCAUGCACGAAAGUGCGGGGAUCGAACAGGAUUAGAUACCCUGGUAGUCCGCACAGUAAACGAUGAAUACUUGUUUUCGGCGAUAUAAUGUCGGAGGCAAAGCGAAAGCGAUAAGUAUUCCACCUGGGAAGUACGCCGGCAACGGUGAAACUCAAAGGAAUUGACGGGG
RNAcentral lists this ribosomal RNA (392 nucleotides) under uncultured bacterium. RNAcentral describes it as "partial 16S ribosomal RNA". It matches the Rfam family "Bacterial small subunit ribosomal RNA", at positions 523 to 918 of the family's 1533-position model. The record is from RNAcentral.